CUAAAAGCAAUAUUUUGGGGUGGUGUGUGAGCCCCAAUACUUCCCAUUGACCAGAGCUUACACAAAGGUGCAUUAACUUCCCUGAACUUACACAUUUUGCCUGUUUGAGCACCAAGGAAGUCUUUGUGGCAUAACCUUACAUCUGGUUAAGUCAUUCUUUGCUCUAGGCAAAAUGAGAAUAUUUUUCUCUAGCAAAAUCAAAGAGAAUCCUUCUACUAAGGUUUCAGCAGAAUCUCAGUAUUUAAGACCCCCAGGUAUCCCCAUCCUGGGAGUCAGGACUUCAAUCUCUCCACAUCAGGGCUCUGAUUUUGACUUUGGAAAAUUGUGGUAUUAUGCAGCCAGUCUUUGCAGUCUGGCCACCACGCUGACAGACCCUGGGCAUGAAGUUUAUAUAGUCGACUUUGCCCUGGGCAGCUGCAGGAGUUGACUUUCUUUCAAAGCAGUCAUGAAAAGCCCCUUGGAUGAGUUGGAAGUUGGCUGCCCAGAAUGCAUCGUUCUCUUUUAUCUAGGAUUCCAAGUGUAGUUACUAUAAGCCAACUCACUGCACAAUCCUAGUUAUUUUCAUUGCUCCCGAUGCUGUUCAGGUGCCAGGGCUACCGUAUAUGCUAAUGAUUCACCCUGUGCCCAUUUCUCAUCAAGAUUAAACACAGAAAAAAGCCUUUGUCAUUGAAAUGACACUGAAUGCCAGCAGCAAUCACUGUGGAACUAAGGAACCAAGACCAGGUUUUGAGUUGUAUGUAACCUUGACACAGUUAAAUAAUCUAGCUAAAAAUCUCAAUGUGAUGUUUGCAUUCUGGGGCGAAUCCUAACACGUCUCUUAGCAUUGAGUUCUCAGAAAAAAUCUAAUGCAAGGGCUUAUGUGCUAUUCCUUCACAAGGUAAUGUAAUGUCAGAGAUUAAGGUCAAUAAGAAGGAUAACGUGAAGGAAAUAAAUGGAGAAUGAACGAAGUUAGGUUCAAGCUGGCUGCUGCUAAGUGCAACUGUGUGCUUGUCUGACGCAACAUCCUCCAAAGAGGAAUAAAAGGCAUCACUGAGGAGUCUGUCUGGAGAAAGAAAGAGUGGAUUUUAUUUUCUGACUCCCAUAGUUCAUUAGUGAACGGCUUGCCACAUGGGAGGUUAAAUAACCCACAUUUAUGAAUAUCACACCCACAGUGCCGAGCAGGGACCAUCAUGUCCUGUGCUUGGGCACCAAUAGGGAGCCCUGGGGCAUCCAACAGAAUGGAGCCCAGACACAGAUGGGGCGUCCUCAGGUUACACCUGAGUAGGUUUAAUGAAGGUUCACACAAUAGGUGCCUGCAGUAGUGGCUGGAACAUGAGGCAUACAAGGCUGAGAGGACAUGAAAUGGCACAUACUAAGUGUCUGAGAUGUCUACUUGUUUUUAAACUCCUUUUAUUGCAUCUUUUUCUUGUUUUAUUCUCCAGGCAAGCCCUUCACUGUUAUGUUUAAUGGCUAUAGUAACAGCAUGUGCUUUUUUCAAAAUUAUUAUAGUACCCACAAUCAGAUUGUAUCAAGUUUUGUAAGUGAGGUUUGCUGUAAGGUUUCUGUAAGUGCUUUUUUCUCACCUAAGGCAGUUUCUAUCUUUGUUUUCUUUUCUGAAACUGUAUAUUAAAUUUUAUUUUUAAAAUGUCUGCAUCUACUCCCAUCAUUAUGUGAUUUUUUAAAUAUGUAGUCAAUAGAAGGGAUGAAUUAAGUUGUUGGAUUUACCUGAAGUUUUAAAAUUCUUGAAUUUCUGAUAUAUACUUAUGUUGAUUGUAAUAGUUUAUUAUUUGUUAAUGCACCAAUGGGUUUGGUGUAAAAAUAUGCGUGGGAUUUUCAGGGCUAUGCUAUGAGUUCUUUUGUUCCUUAUCUACCUCCGUAAUCAAAUCUAUAUUAAACUUACAAAAUCAGUUGGUGACUUUCAUUUUUGUCAUUAUGAGCAAAUAAACUUUGUGAAGCAGAGGGUUUUCUAUUCACUGAGGUGUUUUGGAGAUUUCUUGUGCAACGCCUUAUGGGAGUGGGGAAUCUGAUGAAGCAGGGGCUAUGCUUUGAUUCUCAUUUAAUGUCUUCAUCUGCAGUUCGUCCUUUAAAGGAUCCCAUGCAGGAUGCCACCUCACGUUUAGUGGCAAGGCAUUUCCAGGCUUCCUUUGGCCUUCAAAGUUUCUCAGACAUUCCUUGAUUUUACUGACCUUUGCAGUUGGAAGAACAGUGGCCAGGUGUUUUGUGGAAUGUGCCUCUCUUGAGAUUAUUUGCUUUUCUCAUAGCUAUGCUAGGACUGAGAGUCUCUGGCAGGAAGACUACAAGGAUAAAUUGCAAUUCCCGUCAUAUCAUAUCAAGGGUACAUGCCAUCAUUUUUAUAUAGCCUUAAAUUUUUGAUGUUUUCUUUGACCACUUGUCUGAGUUAGUGC
RNAcentral lists this long non-coding RNA (2384 nucleotides) under Homo sapiens (human). RNAcentral's name for it is "HSALNT0132285". Lineage: Eukaryota; Metazoa; Chordata; Mammalia; Primates; Hominidae. The record is from RNAcentral.